This 23-nucleotide non-coding RNA is filed under the name Gallus gallus (chicken). The record is from RNAcentral. Lineage: Eukaryota; Metazoa; Chordata; Aves; Galliformes; Phasianidae. RNAcentral also lists the same sequence under 2 other names.
CUCUGAAUCCAGCGAUCCGAGUU